Molecule: unclassified non-coding RNA, 404 nt
Filed under: soil metagenome
Description: partial contains 5.8S ribosomal RNA, internal transcribed spacer 2, and large subunit ribosomal RNA
Rfam family: 5.8S ribosomal RNA (bases 1-121)
Source: RNAcentral
GAUGAAGAACGCAGCGAAAUGCGAUAAGUAAUGUGAAUUGCAGAAUUCAGUGAAUCAUCGAAUCUUUGAACGCACCUUGCGCCCUUUGGACAUUCCGAAGGGCAUGCCUGUUUGAGUAUCAUGAACACCUCAACUCUCACGGCUUGUCCGUGAUGAGCUUGGACUUUGGGGGUCUUGCCGGCCUGUGGUCGGCUCCUCUCAAAUGGAUCAGCUUGCCAGUGUUUGGUGGCAUCACAGGUGUGAUAACUAUCUGCGCUUGUGGUUUUCCAUCAGAUAACCUUCAGUGAUAUGGAGGUUCGCUGGAGCUCACAAAUGUCUCUCCUUAGUGAGGACAGCUCUUUGAACGUUUGAUCUCAAAUCAGGUAGGACUACCCGCUGAACUUAAGCAUAUCAUAAGCGGAGGA